AGUCAUACGCUCGUCUCAAAGAUUAAGCCAUGCAUGUGUAAGUAUAAAUAGUUAACUUUGAAACUGCGAAUGGCUCAUUAUAUCAGUUAUAGUUUAUUUGAUGAAGAAUACUAAUUGGAUAACCGUAGUAAUUCUAGAGCUAAUACAUGUAUAAAGUCUUGUAGACUGCAUUUAUUAGAAUGAAAACCAUACGUUUCGGCCUAUUCGUGAGUAAUAAUAACUAAUCAUAUCGUAUGCUUAUGUAACGAUGUGUCUUUCAAGUUUCUGCCCUAUCAGCUUUCGAUGGUAGUGUAUUGGACUACCAUGGCAGUAACGGGUAACGAAGAAUUUGGGUUCGAUUUCGGAGAGGGAGCCUGAGAGAUGGCUACCUCAUCCAAGGAAGGCAGCAGGCGCGUAAAUUACCCAAUCCUGACACAGGGAGGUAGUGACAAUAAAUCACAAUGCGGAACAAUGUUUUGCAAUUGGAUUGAGAACAACGUACAAACCUUAUCGAUAAACAAUUGGAGGGCAAGUCUGGUGCCAGCAGCCGCGGUAAUUCCAGCUCCAAUAGCGUAUAUUAA
Molecule: ribosomal RNA, 560 nt
Filed under: Blastocystis hominis
Lineage: Eukaryota; Bigyra; Opalinata; Blastocystidae
Description: SSU rRNA
Rfam family: Eukaryotic small subunit ribosomal RNA
Source: RNAcentral